GACGAACGCUGGCGGCGUGCUUAACACAUGCAAGUCGAACGGAAAGGCCCGGCUUUUCUUGGGUGCUCGAGUGGCGAACGGGGGAAUCACACGUGAGUAACCUGCGCUUGCCUUUGGGAUAACUUCAGGAAACUGGGGCUAAUACCUGAUAGGCGCGCCUGCUGCGUGGGGGGGGUUGGAAGGUUGCGGCGGUUGGGGAUGGACUCGCGGCUGAUCAGCUUGUUGGUGGGGUAGUGGCUGACCAAGGCGUUGACGGGGAGCGGGCCUGAGAGGGGGACCGGCGACAUUGGGCCGGAGAUACGGCCCAGACUCCUACGGGAGGCAGCAGUGGGGAACAGUGCACAAUGGGCGGAAGCCUGAUGCAGCAACGCCGGGUGCGGGAUGACGGCCUUCUGGUUGUCAACCGCUUGCGCCUGUGACGAAGCGGUAGUGACGGUAAUGGGUAAAGAAGCACCGGCUAACUACGUG
This 468-nucleotide ribosomal RNA is filed under the name uncultured bacterium. Its description in RNAcentral is "partial 16S ribosomal RNA". It matches the Rfam family "Bacterial small subunit ribosomal RNA", at positions 28 to 507 of the family's 1533-position model. The record is from RNAcentral.